GUGAGAAUGUUGGCAUGAGUAGCGAGAUGUGGGUGAGAAUCCCACAGGCCGUAAACCCAAGGUUUCCAGGGGAAGGUUCGUCCGCCCUGGGUUAGUCGGGACCUAAGCUGAGGCCGAAAGGCGUAGGUGAUGGACAACAGGUUGAUAUUCCUGUACUACCGAAAACCGUUUGAGAGAUGGGAUGACACAGUAGGAUAAGCUAAGCACACUG
This 211-nucleotide ribosomal RNA is filed under the name Clostridioides difficile. RNAcentral describes it as "partial 23S ribosomal RNA". It matches the Rfam family "Bacterial large subunit ribosomal RNA", at positions 1288 to 1497 of the family's 2925-position model. The record is from RNAcentral. Lineage: Bacteria; Bacillati; Bacillota; Clostridia; Peptostreptococcales; Peptostreptococcaceae.